GGAGAGGUGGGUGAGUGGCUGAAACCAGUUGUUUGCUAAACAACCGAACGGGGUAAACCCGUUCCGCGGGUUCAAAUCCCGCCCUCUCCGCCA
This 93-nucleotide transfer RNA is filed under the name Pseudobdellovibrionaceae bacterium. RNAcentral's name for it is "Bdellovibrionaceae bacterium tRNA-Ser". It matches the Rfam family "tRNA". Rfam says of the family: Transfer RNA (tRNA) molecules are approximately 80 nucleotides in length. Their secondary structure includes four short double-helical elements and three loops (D, anti-codon, and T loops). Further hydrogen bonds mediate the characteristic L-shaped molecular structure. tRNAs have two regions of fundamental functional importance: the anti-codon, which is responsible for specific mRNA codon recognition, and the 3' end, to which the tRNAs corresponding amino acid is attached (by aminoacyl-tRNA synthetases). tRNAs cope with the degeneracy of the genetic code in two manners: having more than one tRNA (with a specific anti-codon) for a particular amino acid; and 'wobble' base-pairing, i.e. permitting non-standard base-pairing at the 3rd anti-codon position. The record is from RNAcentral. Lineage: Bacteria; Pseudomonadati; Bdellovibrionota; Bdellovibrionia; Bdellovibrionales; Pseudobdellovibrionaceae. RNAcentral also lists the same sequence under 1 other name.